RNAcentral lists this ribosomal RNA (497 nucleotides) under uncultured bacterium. RNAcentral describes it as "partial 16S ribosomal RNA". It matches the Rfam family "Bacterial small subunit ribosomal RNA", at positions 28 to 507 of the family's 1533-position model. The record is from RNAcentral.
GAUGAACGCUGGCGGCGUGCCUAACACAUGCAAGUCGAGCGAACAGACGAGGCGCUUGCUGGUCGGACGUGAGAGGCGGACGGGAGAGUAACACGAGGAUAACCCACCUAUAAGACUGGGAUAAUCUCGGGAAACCGGAGCAAAUACCGGAUAAUAUAUUGAAGCACAGGGUUCAAUAGUGAAAGACGGCUUUGCUGUCACUUAUAGAUGGAUCCGCGCGGCAGUAGCUAGUUGGUAGGGUAAAGGGCUACCAAGGCGAGGAUGCGUAGCAGACCGGUGAGGGUGGUCGGCCGCCCUGGAACGUGGACAGGCCCCAUGCGCCUACGGGAGGCGGCAGUAGGCAACCGGCGGCAAGGGGCGAAAGCCUUGCGGAGCAGGGCCACGUGUGUGAUGAAGGUCUUCGGAGCGUAAAACUCUGUUAUUAGGGAUGAACAGAUGUGUAAGUUGCUAUGCACGUCUUGACGGUACCUACUCAAGAAGCCACGGCUAACUACGUG